Molecule: non-coding RNA, 82 nt
Organism: Angiostrongylus cantonensis (rat lungworm)
Lineage: Eukaryota; Metazoa; Nematoda; Chromadorea; Rhabditida; Metastrongylidae
Source: Rfam
GCAGCGAUGUCCGAGUGGUUAAGGAGAUUGACUCGAAAUCAAUUGGGCUCUGCCCGCGUAGGUUCGAAUCCUUCUCGCUGCG